AUAUAUUAGAAUAAAUAUACAUAUAAUUUAUAUAUGUGUUUAUGUAUAACGUGUGUUGGUCCACAAAUUUUGGUUUGUGCAUUUAGUAUUUAAUGUAAUGCCCUUGUCCUUAGGGUCUUUAAAAGUCUCUGUCUUUUUAAAAAACUGCCUAUUUAUUGUCCAUAAAUAAACUUCCUUCCUAACUUUAUUGAGCAUCAUAGUAGUAAUUAUCCAAGCAGCAAUAUAGAUGGGAAGGCAUAUUUCAAUUUGAAAUGCUGUCAGGUAGAAAUUCCCCUACUGCAAGUGAUAAUUUAUGUAGUCCCAGGAUGGUGGAAAUGUGUUAGUAGUAAUGAGCACUAGUGUGCACCCAGAUCUAAGAAUGUUGCAAGUGGUUAAGAUGACCACAGACCUGUUGCUACAAUUAUUUAACAAAUAGCUAAAAUAUCUACUAUGUUUAGGGCACUAUCCCAGGCCCAGGAGAUAAAAUUGAGUGCUAAAUUAAAGAAAGUUGAAGUAGAAUAUUGAGAAGGAAGAAUUUUUUAACAAGGACUGUGUUUUGUUCUUCUGGUUUUUUUUGUGUCUUUUGAGGAAGAUUAGCCUUGAGCUAACUACUGCCAAUCCUCCUCUUUUUGCUGAGGAAGCCUGGCCCUGAGCUAACAUCCAUGCCCAUCUUCCUCUACUUUAUACGUGGGACGCCUACCACAGCAUGGCUUGCCACACGGUGCCAUGUCUGCACCUGGGAUCUGAACCAGUGAACCUCAGGCCGCUGAGAAGCGGAACGUGUGCACUUAACCGCUGUGCCACCGGGCUGGCCCCAACAAGGACUAUGUUGAAGGAAGGUAACAUGAGAUCAGAAAGUGAAAAGCACACAAACAAAAACUAUGAGACAAAAGGAAUAUGAAAAAUGAAUCUUAGAUUAGAAGACAAAGAAAAUUAAAGUCACUACUCAUAACAAUAAGAUGGAACUGUCUUUUCCUAUCUCAAGAGUGAAACAAGCCUGAUUUACAUAAAUUUGUAUGCAUAAUUUGUACAGGCACUGGACACCUGGAAGGUUGCCAGCAUAGCCUUUGGUGAGACAAAGUUCAGGGGAGUCUGAAUUACAGGAAACCAGUUAGUGGUGUUGUCUGUUCUUUAUCUAGUUGCUUACUUCCUUGGUUUUUCUUAAUGUUCUUGAUUACAGAGGGCUAGAGUAGUGAGGGAGGUUUAAAAAAUAGCUGAUGUGUGAUAUAUUAGUAUGAAGUAAUGUUAAGGCUCUUAAUCUGUUGUGCAAAUGAAUAAACGAUUAUACAUUUUAUCUUCAUAUAUAAUUAUUCCUCUUUGUAAUGUUUAUCAUUCAUUCUCUAUAUUUACAACAUCGUUGUUAGUAUAGAUAAGACCAGUGGUAGUUAGUGUAACACUAAUACUAACUCCUCUCGUUUCUUCAACAUUUACUAUGUGCUGGGUCCUCUGCUAAGCACUUUUCAUAUGCAGCAGCCUAUGAGGUCAGCAUAUUAGUACCUCGCCCCCGUGCACCGACGGAUGAUGGAAGUCUGGCGCACAGAGGUUAAGUGAUUUAAGUUCCUGUAGCUACUAGGCUACCUGGGAUUUAAGUUCAGCAGUCUGACGUGGACCCCUUGAUAACUGUGCUCUCCAGUACAGAUGACCAGGUCUGAUUUACUCUAAAGUUGGUUUAUUUGAAUCAUUGAAGACAUAAUAUCCAGAGACCAGAAGAACUCUCACUUUUAUUAUGCAGUUCAUAUCUAGACAUAAAGUUCUCGUUGAGUUUCAGAAAGAGUUACUUACCAGUGCUUGUUGAAGUACUGAAUCAUGACAUGGAUGGUGUUUUGAAGGCAUGAUUUAGCACUGUUUGAGUGUGAUUAGGGCAGGGAGUUCCCUUGUAAGGGAAAGGUCAUGGGCUGGAAUCCUGUGGGUGUCAGUUAGCUUGCUCACCCUAUGGCCAAAGCCUGCCCUUUUAACUCUAGCUCUCCCCCAACAAAAAGGGGCAUGUGGGUAUAAGGGGUGCCAGAUGUGAGGAUGUAGAUGGGCCAGUGCCCAUCCGUCACUAGGAUGAUGGCCAAAAAUCAAAGCUCUGUCACUGAAAGCCUCAGUGAAAAAAUAGAUAUUUUUAUAUAUAAUAUAUACAAAUAUUUUUAUUUACUUGAAAAUAUAUUUGUUCAUAUAAGAUGACAAGAUGAGACAUAUAUAUAUAUAUAUAUAUAUAUAUUUAGUCUCAUAUUUUUAUACUCUCCUUUCUGUUUUGGGCCAUAUUUUAUUUUCUUUUAACCUAGACUUAUUUUCAAAAUUCCCCCUUUUGGGGUCUCUAAACCUCCAUAUUUUAACUUUCCGUAAGUAGGACCUAGGACAGUGCCAUAAGCAUAGUAAUGGCUCAAAUGGUUAAACUAUGUAGCAGAAAAAUCUUGUGGUCACCUCAGCCAUUUGUAACAUUUUGUAUCCCGAUGUAGGCUGGCUUUCCUUAUUCUUGACAUAUCUUUAUGGGAAUAUCAACAAAAGAUAGGUAGAAAGAUUGAUAGAGAGGCCCUUGUAAUGGAGUAGUUUUCUAUUUGUUAACAUUUCCGAGUUGAAAUGAGAGCAUCUGGGAACCUAAAGUAGGAACUUAAGUCAAAAAUCUGUCAAUAAUAAUACUAUUAUUAAUAUUAAUACAUUGAUAAUUAUUGAUAUAAAUUUUAGGUUGAACCAUAUGAAAUUGCCAAUAUUGAACCAUUUUGACCUAUGAAAAUGGCUGCUUUUGUGGUUUAAACUAAAAUGCUGGUAGCAGCUCCCUCAUAUUGAUUGCUAUGUGCCAGGACUGUGCUCCCUGAUUUCGUGCAGAACUGCAUCCUCCAACCUCAUGAGGCACAUAAAAUUACUUCCCCCAUUUUACAGACAGUAGAACAGCUUAGGGAAGUUAAGUAACUUUUCCGUAGUCAUUUAGAGCAACACUUUAAUGUUUACACUGUUAUUUUCCUUGCGAUGCUCACUGAGUCAGUAGAACAUGAUGAGAUGAGAAGGAAGAUAAGAAUGUUUUACUGUUAGUACAGCUCUGACACUUUUGAACCAGUGUCAGCUCUGAGGCGUUUUUAGCCAGUGGUGUUGUGAAGUAAUUGUAUCAUCAGUUAGCAGAGAAAUGCACAAAGGCUUUAGCUUCUGUUUGGCUCUGGCUGAUCUUUGUGAACCCUCAGCACUCGUCCUCAAUAAGUGCUGUAAAUCAGGGCAGGGUACAGCAGCUUCUGCCAUAUGAGCAGGGUUUAUUAUUACUUCUCAUUCUGGUUGCCUUUGCCAACCUUCCACUUUUCUAGGUGAGAGCUUGCCUUUCUGCUUAGACUUUUGAAAUGCAGCUGCUCCUAACUGCCCAGCUGAUCUGCAUCACUUUCUGCCUAGUCUUUUGCUGUCUGCUGGACCCUGUGUGUGAGGGGAUGCUUAGUCUUGCCCCUCCUGGUUCGGCCCGCUACCCUUGCCUGGACUUGACUGUAGAAUUCCAUUGUUUUCAGACAUGGCCUCACUGCGGGUAAAAGCAGUAGUCUUGCCUCUGAGCUGAGUCUUAGGAUGGACGUGGG
Molecule: long non-coding RNA, 3512 nt
Filed under: Equus asinus (donkey)
Lineage: Eukaryota; Metazoa; Chordata; Mammalia; Perissodactyla; Equidae
Description: lncRNA (ENSEASG00005032998.1)
Source: RNAcentral